AGCACUGCGUCUCAUCCGUUAUACGACCGGCCCGCAGUGUUGUGAUGGAACCUGACUGUGCAGUGUUUGUUACGUCUGCUGUGAUUGUCACGGUGUCCAAGGGUAAUUGUUCUUUCCUAUCUGAAACAAUGCAGUGGAAAGAGUGUGUCGGAGCAGGAAAAUGAGCCAGCCAAGCCUUCAGUAAACCUGGAGGAGCUCCGAGCCGAGAUCAAGGCAAAGAUCGAAGAGGAGGCCUACCAAAAAGGCUACCAAGAUGGACUGAAGCAAGGCAAGGUGCUUCAGGAAGAGAAAUGUGAAGACGAAAGUGCUGCGGACAAAUUGCUGGAAACAAAAAAUAAGGAUGAAGAGAGCGGAGAGAGGCUUAAGAACAGCAGGAGGAUGGAGGAAGUCCUGGCUGUUGUAAGCGAGUUCUGUCCCAAGGUAUCCAUGAGUCGGCGGCUUCUAUGGCUCACUCUGACGCUGUUUGUGGCUGUGUGUGUGGUGUUCAGUAUUUAUUCAUUCUUCAGUGACUAUUACAACCGACACGAGGACACAUAAGGGAAGAGGAACUCUGUGUGAGACACUGACGGAGAUCUUUGGACUGGGUGUAAGAGCGCAACGAAAGAACCCGCUAAACAGAAUAACAGAGACCUCAUACAUCACGUCUCUCCCAGUUUACCAUAUCAUCAGACACACUUGAAUCAAAUGACCCCGAUACUCAAGGGUCAGAGACAUUUUGGGAGGCUUUAUGGCUCGCGAGGCCUUCUUCAUGGUCAGCAGAGAUAAGUUAUAAUUUUGCUUGAAAUGGAAAGUUGAAAGGAUGUUUGCUGCAGCAAAAGAAGAGAUGAUUCUGUUUAGGGACCAAUUAUAUUGUGUGCUGAAAUAGAUAUUUAAUUAAAUUAGAUCUUGUAAUUAUACAUUCUGGUUCUGGUACUUUGAAUGCUGAAUAUGGCACUUUUUCAUUAAAUGCCACAGUAGAAACAUUGUAUAUUUAUCUACACAAUAGAAUCUCUCAGGUUUGAUAGAUAAUGAAGUCCCUGAGAGACUUUUAAUGCAUAUUUUAAAAAAUGUUUUUAUCUGUUGUUUUUUCUAUAAAGAAUGUUUCAGAUGUAAGCACAUUCCACAGCAGUUCUUCAAGUGCAAUACUCAGCUCAUGGUUCUCAUUUGUGCCAUGUUUGAUUGUUACUUCAGAGCACUGAGAGUUUUUUUUUUCUUGUAUGCGAGCACUGUUUAGACGUCAUGAUUCUUUUUUUUUUUUUGUCUUUGCACAUGUGUGCCCGCCUGUGCUGUCUGUUCUCUGUUCAUUUUAUGGUCUGCCACCUCUCCUUUAAAUAAAAAGUGCCUGA
Molecule: long non-coding RNA, 1325 nt
Organism: Oreochromis aureus
Lineage: Eukaryota; Metazoa; Chordata; Actinopteri; Cichliformes; Cichlidae
Source: Ensembl